Molecule: small RNA, 36 nt
Filed under: Arabidopsis thaliana (thale cress)
Lineage: Eukaryota; Viridiplantae; Streptophyta; Magnoliopsida; Brassicales; Brassicaceae
Description: ATSL005620
Source: RNAcentral
CGUUUUCUCUUUUUUUUUUUUUUUUUUUUCCUUACU